ACUAGGGAUCGGGUGACCUCAAAAUGGAUGUAUCACUCGGCACCUUACGAGAAAUCAAANUCUUUGGGUUCUGGGGGGAGUAUGGUCGCAAGGCUGAAAUUUGAAGGAAUUGACGGAAGGGCACCACCAGGUGUGGAGCCUGCGGCUUAAUUUGACUCAACACGGGGAAACUCACCAGGUCCAGACAUAACUAGGAUUGACAGAUUGAUAGCUCUUUCAUGAUUUGAUGG
Molecule: ribosomal RNA, 230 nt
Filed under: uncultured fungus
Lineage: Eukaryota; Fungi
Description: partial 18S ribosomal RNA
Rfam family: Eukaryotic small subunit ribosomal RNA
Source: RNAcentral